UUUCGUGGUCGUCAAGGAUUCCAGCACAUUAGAUUGCCGGCAUUCGCGUCGAUACUCUAGCGUCAUGCUUGUAAGAUUAUAGUCUUCCAGCACGUCAAUCGGCACGCUCUGCAGAUCCAUCCGAUGUAUUUUACGUUGUUUACGUGCUGGUUGGCGUCCAUGUCGUUCCAUCUGGGCUGAUUUUUGGCGGAGAGGAGGAGUUGGUGAAACUAGGAAAUGUGCAUGCCGAAAGUUUGAUAAAAUGAGGCAGAUGGGUACUUACGGCUAAGCCUGAUCGAACACGGUCCGCGGUUCCAUCGCUUGGAGAUCAGGCACCUGGUUGCUCUUGUGAUGAUUCUUUGGGUGUUGUAGUCCCUAAUUAUCCAGUCCCUACGCAUUCCAUUUUUUCCUGCUGCAUCAACCCAGGUGUCAAUCUCAACCACAUCUCCCCUGUUCACAUUUCAUUCAAUUCAUAUCAUUCCAUGAUGUUGAAGCCACGCCAUAAAAAAAGGGGCUGAAAUGUGUUUCGAUGUAAUUUCUGGUGGCUCACAUUCUGCUCUCUAUUAGAUAACUUAAUGGCAUGUUGCUGCCAUCUCGGCUGCAGAGAGACUGAAAUUAUGGGCAAGUUUUCAUAGAGCUUUGUGGGUCGCUGCCACAGAAAAGGUAACUUCCCAAGCUUUUGUGGGCAAGAGAAAUUCCUGACAUCUUGGAUCUCUGUGUAAAGAAGGGAAGUUGGACUGGGAAGGAGAGUGGGAGAAUUAUGCAUGUACCAGGAGCUGUACUUUUCGACUUGAACAUGUAUGCGUGUGACUACCCAUAUGAGUUUCCUGAUGCUCAUUUCUCUUGUUGCACCAAAGCCAUUCCCGGCAAGACCAGAACUCGUUACAUGAUUCAGAGCUGUUUCCUGCAUUCAUUCCACAGGGAACAAAUGGCUGAUUGAGGAAGCUACGGACCACAACAAAGUGGGAUGAGAAAGAAGAAUGAAAUCUAGUAUCCCUGUCAUGGAAAAGAGAUUCUCUCCUGCAUGGAUUGCCAGUGGUUGAUACAACGUUAAUUCCUUAUUAUAUUUUCAUAAAACGAAUUGGUUAUUCUGGAUUGUCUUUUGCAACAUGGCAUUGCUAUUUGAUCAUAUUUUUAUAUUUAUAUAAUGUGAUAAAUGACAUAAUAUGUUAAUGUGGUAAAACCAUUAGUUGAGGCAUGCGUAGAUUGCAUGAGGUCCCUUGUACCUGGUAUUUUACCAAUUUGUUUACAUUUGAGACAAAAUCCAGAUAACUAUGGGUAUGGUUAAUAUAGGGUACAAAAAAGAACAUCGCAAUCCCUUUCAUACAAAUGUGAAAAGUUUGGGUGCUAGAUAGAUAAAAGAAGAGAAGAAAACCAACCUGAAG
Molecule: long non-coding RNA, 1364 nt
Organism: Diospyros lotus (date-plum)
Lineage: Eukaryota; Viridiplantae; Streptophyta; Magnoliopsida; Ericales; Ebenaceae
Exons: 5
Source: RefSeq, a predicted model, not a curated record